CAACCGUGGGGUUCGGUCCCCGGGGUCCUGACCUUCCGGGGGUCGCCGACCCGGAGCUACCACGGUUCGGGUCCCGUGCCGGCCGC
This 86-nucleotide transfer RNA is filed under the name Acidimicrobiaceae bacterium. RNAcentral describes it as "tRNA-Arg". The record is from RNAcentral. Lineage: Bacteria; Bacillati; Actinomycetota; Acidimicrobiia; Acidimicrobiales; Acidimicrobiaceae.